RNAcentral lists this RNase P RNA (392 nucleotides) under Cytobacillus dafuensis. Its description in RNAcentral is "Bacterial RNase P class B". It matches the Rfam family "Bacterial RNase P class B". Rfam says of the family: Ribonuclease P (RNase P) is a ubiquitous endoribonuclease, found in archaea, bacteria and eukarya as well as chloroplasts and mitochondria. The record is from Rfam by way of RNAcentral. Lineage: Bacteria; Bacillati; Bacillota; Bacilli; Caryophanales; Bacillaceae.
GCGUUCGGGUAAUCGCUGUAAUGAGCGUAAGCGAAUUGCAGAGGAAAGUCCAUGCUCGCACGGGCUGAGAUGUCCGUAGUGUUCGUGCCUAGUGAAAUCAUAAGCUAGGGCAGCCAUUUGCUUGGCUGACGGCAGGGAAAAUGCCUAAGUCCAUUACUGGAUAUGGCAUGAAUACCUUGAAAGUGCCACAGUGACGUAGCCUUUUCAGAAAUGAAAAGGGUGGAACGAGGUAAACCCCACGAGCGAGAAACCCAAAUUAUGGUAGGGGCACUUUCUCUAAGGAAAUGAACGAGGAGAAGGACAGGUUCAUAAACCUGUAGAUAGAUGAUUACCACCUGAGUACGAGACUAAGGUCGUUUGCAGUACACAGGAACAAAACAUGGCUUACAGAA